UACGGAGGAUGCAAGCGUUAUCCGGAUUCAUUGGGUUUAAAGGGUGCGUAGGCGGCUUUUUAAGUCAGUGGUGAAAUCCUGUCGCUCAACGAUAGAAUUGCCAUUGAUACUGAAGAGCUUGAGUUCAGUUGAGGUAAGCGGAAUGCGUAGUGUAGCGGUGAAAUGCUUAGAUAUUACACAGAACACCGAUUGCGAAGGCAGCUUACUAAACUGACACUGACGCUGAUGCACGAAAGCGUGGGGAUCGAACAGGAUUAGAACCAC
Molecule: ribosomal RNA, 264 nt
Filed under: uncultured bacterium
Lineage: Bacteria
Description: partial 16S ribosomal RNA
Rfam family: Bacterial small subunit ribosomal RNA
Source: RNAcentral